This is a non-coding RNA of Mycolicibacterium gilvum PYR-GCK, 65 nucleotides long. The record is from Rfam. NCBI's taxonomy places the organism in Bacteria, Bacillati, Actinomycetota, Actinomycetes, Mycobacteriales, Mycobacteriaceae.
GCGGCGUCCAUUUCCGGAUGCCGGCGGACGAGGGAGCAGUACCCGCACAGACAAGACUGACUCGC